RNAcentral lists this ribosomal RNA (528 nucleotides) under uncultured bacterium. Its description in RNAcentral is "bacterial SSU rRNA". It matches the Rfam family "Bacterial small subunit ribosomal RNA", at positions 777 to 1297 of the family's 1533-position model. The record is from RNAcentral.
AAUAGAUACCCGGGUAGUCCUGGCCGUAACGAUGUCGACUAGAUCGUAGUGCCUCUGACGGUAUUACGGUCGAAGCAAAAGUGCUAAGUCGACCGCCUGGGAAGUACGGUCGCAAGGCUAAAACUCAAAGGAAUUGACGGGGGCUCACACAAGCGGUGGAGCAUGUGGUUCAAUUCGAAGCAACGCGCAGAACCUUACCUGGGCUUGACAUGCUAGGAUUAUCUCUAUGAAAGUAGAGUAGGCCCUUCGGGGUACAACUAGUACAGGUGCUGCAUGGCUGUCGUCAGCUCGUGUCGUGAGAUGUCGGGUUAAGUCCCUUAACGAGCGAAACCUUUGCCCUUAGUUGCCAGCGGGUAAUGCCGGGGACUCUAAGGGGACUGCCGGUGUCAAACCGGAGGAAGGUGGAGAUGACGUCAAGUCCUCAUGGCCUUUAUGCCCAGGGGCCACACACGUGCUACAAUGGCGUUGACAAAGCGACCCUAGAACGCGAGUUCAUGGAAAUCGCAUAAAUAACCGCCCCAGUUCAGA